This 483-nucleotide ribosomal RNA is filed under the name uncultured microorganism. RNAcentral's name for it is "bacterial SSU rRNA". It matches the Rfam family "Bacterial small subunit ribosomal RNA", at positions 9 to 489 of the family's 1533-position model. The record is from RNAcentral.
GAGUUUGAUCCUGGCUCAGGAUGAACGCUGGCGGCGUGCUUAACACAUGCAAGUCGAACGAAGCGCCUUAUUUGAUUUUUCUUCGGAACUGAAGAUUUGGUGACUGAGUGGCGGACGGGUGAGUAACGCGUGGGUAACCUGCCCUGUACAGGGGGAUAACAAUCAGAAAUGACUGCUAAUACCGCAUAAGACCACAGCACCGCAUGGUGCAGGGGUAAAAACUCCGGUGGUACAGGAUGGACCCGCGUCUGAUUAGCUGGUUGGUGAGGUAACGGCUCACCAAGGCGACGAUCAGUAGCCGGCUUGAGAGAGUGAACGGCCACAUUGGGACUGAGACACGGCCCAAACUCCUACGGGAGGCAGCAGUGGGGAAUAUUGCACAAUGGGGGAAACCCUGAUGCAGCAACGCCGCGUGAGUGAAGAAGUAUUUCGGUAUGUAAAGCUCUAUCAGCAGGGAAGAAAGUGACGGUACCUGACUAAGAA